Molecule: small RNA, 149 nt
Filed under: Bacillus gobiensis
Lineage: Bacteria; Bacillati; Bacillota; Bacilli; Caryophanales; Bacillaceae
Description: c-di-AMP sequence
Rfam family: c-di-AMP riboswitch aptamer (ydaO/yuaA leader)
About the family: This family represents a conserved RNA structure found upstream of the ydaO and yuaA genes in Bacillus subtilis and related genes in other bacteria. The ydaO/yuaA element is thought to act as a genetic "off" switch for the ydaO and yuaA genes in its native state.
Source: Rfam by way of RNAcentral
AUUUCUAAAUCGCUGAGACCUAAAGGUGCGGGGGAACCAUUUUUGUGGAUUGUUACACAAUCCAAAGGGGUGAAUCCUUUUAAAAGGUAGGGCUACUCAAAUGGUCCGAAUCCGACAGCUAACCUCGUAAGCGUUAUAUGAGAAGGAAG